AUUGAACGCUGGCGGCGUGCCUAAUACAUGCAAGUCGAGCGAACAGAUGAGAAGCUUGCUUCUCUGAUGUUAGCGGCGGACGGGUGAGUAACACGUGGGUAACCUACUUAUAAGACUGGGAUAACUCCGGGAAACCGGGGCUAAUACCGGAUAAUAUUUUGAACCGCAUGGUUCAAUAGUGAAAGGCGGUUUCGGCUGUCACUUAUAGAUGGACCCGCGCCGUAUUAGCUAGUUGGUAAGGUAACGGCUUACCAAGGCGACGAUACGUAGCCGACCUGAGAGGGUGAUCGGCCACACUGGAACUGAGACACGGUCCAGACUCCUACGGGAGGCAGCAGUAGGGAAUCUUCCGCAAUGGGCGAAAGCCUGACGGAGCAACGCCGCGUGAGUGAUGAAGGUCUUCGGAUCGUAAAACUCUGUUGUUAGGGAAGAACAAAUUUGUUAGUAACUGAACAAGUCUUGACGGUACCAAACCAGAAAGCCACGGCUAACUACGUGCCAGCAGCCGCCGUAA
Molecule: ribosomal RNA, 514 nt
Filed under: uncultured bacterium
Lineage: Bacteria
Description: partial 16S ribosomal RNA
Rfam family: Bacterial small subunit ribosomal RNA
Source: RNAcentral